UACGGAGGGUGCGAGCGUUGUCCGGAAUCACUGGGCGUAAAGGGCGCGUAGGCGGCGCGGAAAGUCGUCGGUGAAAGCUCGGGGCUCAACCCUGAGUCUGCCGGUGAUACUCCCGCGCUCGAGCUCACUAGAGGCAGAUGGAAUUCCUGGUGUAGCGGUGAAAUGCGCAGAUAUCAGGAGGAACACCGGUGGCGAAGGCGGGUCUCUGGGCCGAUACUGACGCUGAGGAGCGAAAGCGUGGGGAGCGAACAGG
This 253-nucleotide ribosomal RNA is filed under the name uncultured bacterium. RNAcentral's name for it is "partial 16S ribosomal RNA". It matches the Rfam family "Bacterial small subunit ribosomal RNA", at positions 524 to 776 of the family's 1533-position model. The record is from RNAcentral.